AGUCGUGCAUCUUUCGAUCACGCUCCAGUGAGGGAAUUAAGGACGGCACGUUGUCCUGGUAACAGGGAUCCAGCAGGGUGGCAACCCAGUAAUCAGCACAAGUUAAAAUGUGGGCAACUCGGCAGUCGUUGGCAGGCACUUUGGUGACUCUAGAUAUCCUCGGACCGAUCGCACAUCCCCAUGACGGCGACGACGCAUCCGGAUGUCUGCCCUAUCAACUUUCACUGUUACUUUCUGCACCUACCAUGGUGACCACGGAUAAUGGGGAAUCAGGGUUUGAUUCCGGAGAGGGAGCCCGAGAAACGGCUACCACAUCCAAGGAAGGCAACAGGCG
Molecule: ribosomal RNA, 334 nt
Filed under: Pelobates cultripes (western spadefoot toad)
Lineage: Eukaryota; Metazoa; Chordata; Amphibia; Anura; Pelobatidae
Rfam family: Eukaryotic small subunit ribosomal RNA
Source: RNAcentral